This 77-nucleotide small RNA is filed under the name Xanthomonas oryzae. RNAcentral describes it as "sX9". RNAcentral also lists the same sequence under 1 other name. Lineage: Bacteria; Pseudomonadati; Pseudomonadota; Gammaproteobacteria; Lysobacterales; Lysobacteraceae. The record is from RNAcentral.
GCGUCUCCCUUGUACGCGCCGGUUCCGAGUGCGCCGUCCACGCCGACCGAGCGACUGCUUGCUACGGUUUAUUAGCC